GUCGGUAUAGCUCAGUGGCAGAGUGCAUGCUUAGCAUGCCUGAGGUCCUGGGUUCAAUUCCCAGUACCUCCA
This 72-nucleotide transfer RNA is filed under the name Camelus bactrianus (Bactrian camel). It matches the Rfam family "tRNA". From Rfam's summary of the family: Transfer RNA (tRNA) molecules are approximately 80 nucleotides in length. Their secondary structure includes four short double-helical elements and three loops (D, anti-codon, and T loops). RNAcentral also lists the same sequence under 3 other names. The record is from Rfam by way of RNAcentral. Lineage: Eukaryota; Metazoa; Chordata; Mammalia; Artiodactyla; Camelidae.